Molecule: non-coding RNA, 4490 nt
Organism: Phalacrocorax carbo (great cormorant)
Lineage: Eukaryota; Metazoa; Chordata; Aves; Suliformes; Phalacrocoracidae
Source: RefSeq, a predicted model, not a curated record
UGCUCACCACCCCUUUUCUACAGUAUGGGAAGUGGGGGAGGAUUGGUUAAUGCAGGCUGAUAAGUGUUCCCUGAAAUUCUAAAUAUUAUUAAUGGUAUCAUUAUGGGUGGUCAUGCUUUCGUACUACUCAUGAAGCCAGGCGUAAAGCUGAAGCUCAGAUAAAGAGACACCUGGCAUUUGUAUUCUUUAAUAUUUACAAUAGUCUAAUGAUUACCACUGCAGACUCUUGCAAAGUGUUCACCUGCCCUGAGGGAUGGAAUGACUUGGCAGGACAUCUGCAUUACAAUUCGAAUAUUAUUCCUGCUGGGAGAGGACUUGAGAGAAUAUUUCUACUUUUCAAAAGUUCCUGCUGUGCCUUGGCAUUUACAGCCCAUCUGGAGAAAUACCUUCAGCACUUUUCUUCUCUACCCAUCAGACUCUGGCCCAGCAGUGUGAUGAGUGCAUUACUUCAUCAUCACGCUAAGCAUCACUUGGUGUCUACACUGAGAACAAUUUUGGGCCAGGAAGUGGAAAAGGCAGAGCAGAUCUGAAAGUACAACACAAACAUUUGUCAUGCCUGUGAAUUAGAAUCAAAAAGACUACAGGCCUAGAAAAGCAGUGUUCUGAAGGAUCUGAACUCAGUCGUCCGAAGCGCUGUGCUUCCUCAACUUCCACAGAUUUGAUCUGUGAAGGACCUCGAGGCAUUGUGGUGUUCCGUCUUAUAAAGGGAAAGCCAAGGAUAAGGAGUACCUUGGUGCGUGACUUUUGUGCUGUGAUUCUUGCCAUAUUCAGCUCUAGAAACCUGAGCACCACAAAUGAUAUUGCUAUUCUCAGCAGGAACCUUCAGGGAGAUGAACAGCAUGUAUUUGGACAUCUGAGAUUUGGUUGCUGACAGCAGCAUGAAGUUUCAUUUGAUUUGCUGAGGGUGGAAGAGUGUCUGACUUUGCAAGCCAGCUGAACCUCGGUCCUGUUUGAAGUCGAUGGCCGGAUUCUUACGGACUGCACCGACACCAGGUUUCCACCUGCAGGCUUUCUGGACGUGGCACAGCAAUUCUCAAGCACUGAUGCUAGUGGCAGCUCAUGAUGGAUCAUGAAGAAUUACUUUCAGCUUUUGGAUUCGCAGUGCUAAUAACAUCUGUGCCAUCUCAGAGCCACAACAGCACAAAAUGGAGUUCAGACAGCACCUUGGCUCCCCGGCGCUCCCAAAAUUGCAGAGCAGCUUAAGUACAUAAUUGCACAGCUUUUGACAGUAGAAGACCAACUGCUUUUCUUCAGUGCACAUUAACAUUAAUCAGUUGUCUAGGUUGGGAUCAGUCUAUAGAAGUGAAAUUACAGGGACAUUAGGAAGGUAAAUCAUGUUUAUUACACGAGUGCCUAAGGCUGAGAAAGUAUGAGGUUCCCCUCCACAAGACACUGUACUCCCUGCUCCAAAAAUGCUCAGAGCUGGAGGAAAGCAGCUUCAUGUAUAUGUGAAAGUGAAGUUUGCAAUUUGAUAGCAAGCAUGUAGGUUAUGUAGUGUUUUGGUGAUGUAAGACUGGUUAUGAGAAUAAAAAUGAAAAGAAAAAAGGAAGGAGAAGAUUGUUGGAGUAAGAGUAACAGGAGUGGAAUGAAGCUGAUGUAAAGAGGUUUUGAGUGCAGGGGCUGAAACAAACCAGUGAGUGUGAGUGAAAGUUGAGUCAGAACUGCAGAAUGGCUCUAGGGGUGGUUGUCACUCCUGCCUCGGCAGCUGCUCUGAUGGCUUGCUUUUUCCCCAUCUGAGACCUGGCUCCUCCAGAAAUGGGGACUGCUGUCAUUUUAGAUGUAAGCCAGAACACCUAGUGUUUAUUUUUUCUCCUUCUGAACUUCCUUUUUAAGCAGCCUUAAGGAGCGAAACACACAGUGUACAUGGAAGGACGUUUGCAGUAAUGUGUUGAAAAUACUGGCCAAGAUCUUCACAUUUAGGAACUAAAGCCAAGUAUACACAAGUUAAAUUAGAGAAACUCUAAUGCUGGUUUUAAAUUAAAUCUGGCUGCUCACAGCCUCAUUGAACACGUGACACAAAAAUAGAGAUGUUUUGAUGUCUCCUUGUGUCUUCACUACAGCAGCUCUAGGCCACCCCAGGAUUUGUCCUCCACUGGGGGAGUUCUCCUGUAACACACUGAGCUGUCUGUUUGUUUCUUCCAUCUGCUCGUAUCUGCUAGAGCAGGGAUUACAAUUUGUCUUGAGGAAUCCCCACUUCCUUUUUAUAGCUUUGCACUGAUUCACCAUGGGACGGGGUUCAGGUAUGAGGAAUGUUACAGGCUGUGAACUAUAUCCUGCUCAGCUGUACACCUACAGCCUCCACUCAUUGGUAAGAAAAAGAGACAUGCCUCCAAGGGGAUAAUUUGGUCCUGUUCCAGUUAUUAGACCUGCAUAGCUUGAUAUUGCUCAGAAAUAGUUUUCUAUAUUUUGGAAGCCUGUUAUUAUCAUUAGGAUACUCUGUUACUCUUAGUAGGAACAGGCAGGCUUUGAUGAAGAAUAAUUCUCCUCUCCAUAUCCUCAAGCCUACUGCUCCCUUUCAGUUACGCCCAGACCUGACACCUGGGACAAAAGAGUCCAUCUCCUUUCUUUGUAUGGACAGGUAAUUUGUAUCUGCAUUCUGUCCGAGAUGCUGAAUAAACCAAAAAGUGUGGGGUUUUUAAACCUAUUUCUUUGAUCCAAGCAAUUCCUGUCCCCCAAAAGAAAAUCAACCAAUGUCCAAUCCUGCAAAGAAAACAGUAAAGAACAAAAUAUUAUUUUAAUACAUUUUUUAAAAAGGUAUACCUGCUUAGAAGCUUUAGGUAUAGCUGAUCCAGCUGGAGGUAGGAGAAUACAGUGGUUGAGCCCAUCUCAGUGUCCCUUCCAGUUAUGUUUUCUAUGAUAGUAUGAUUCGGAAGAGGAUAAUUAUCAGCAAUAUCCAGUGUGAACGCGGGAGCAGAGUUGGAGUGCUGCCUGAUUACAAGGUAUUUGUCUAACGCUCCUUGUCACUGUAUGAGAAUGCUUUAAUUAGCACUGAAAACAUUCAGUUACAUAGACCAUCUCUGGCAAAAAUAGAUUGUGAGCCUGGUGUUUUAACACUGCAUUAAAUGCCAAGUAUUUAGACCUGCCUGGGCACACAAUAUCAUCACCUGAAAACACUAAAACCUAUAAAUCCUUGACUGUCAUUUGCAACAGAAAUACCAAGAAUCGUUAAGAUUGUUAAUGUAUCAACAUGGAUUUUGUUGUCGAAAUGACUGAAAGUAUCAAACAGGCAACAGAUUUCAAGGCAAGGUAAACAUUUUCAUGUCAGUAAGGAUGAACGAUCUCAAAGUGUGUUUUAUCUUCUAAAAAAUAGAUAAUCAGCUUAUAAUCAUGAAAAGAACAAAUGAUCCUGAUCUAUUUCUACAAAGGCAGAUCCCGUUCUGGCAUCUGAACAGCUGAGUAGGAGCACAUAACGUGAGGAUUCCCUAGCUGCUGCUCUGAGAUUGGACAGACCCAGACCACAACAUCGGAUCGAGAUGUGCCCAAAUGUUUGGAACUGGGCUGGAAAUAGCCUCAGCAAAUGAUCUGUAGCCUUACAGUGAGCUAGAAUGAGAGUCCUGUGGACGGCAAAAUGCAUGUCUGAAUUUUGCAGCUUGAUCCAUUUUCUAAAAUCAGAGAAAAAUCUGAAGAGAAAUCCAAUCUUCUCCUUCUUAAGGGGGCUUUGUAGACACUUCUUAAGUUCAUGGAUCAAAUUCAGAAUGAGAAAGGAACCUGUUUUCUGAAUCCGAUAUUGACGUAACUCAGGGUAGUGGAAAUAUAGCUGGACAAGAAGUUCUCAUGAAAUUUCUAUAAUCUCAGUUUUGAGGAAUCUCUCAGAGCAGUUUGGGAAUUUGGAUGGUGCUCCAGAGCCAAGUCCAGGAAGGACAGCCUCCAUUCCAAAACCUGAGUGACAAACUAAGCACAGUCAGGUUCUGAAUUUGAUCAUGGAUGGAUCGGGAGCACUGGUGGUGAUGUGGAGGGGAAGUACUGCACCCGAGCCGCUCACCAGGUCAUUUGAAGCACUUAAUGCACAAGGUGAGUGAGACCACAGGGCUUUCUAUGUCCUCCCCCCAAGCAGAUUCGGAGCACACGUGAGUAUGAGAUAUUUAAUACAUAAUUUGAGGCCUGAUUCAGUGUGGAUCCUAAAGUGGUGCAAUUUCAGUGAAACUACCCCUCCUGACAUGACAGCCAAAGUUAAUUUAAUUCACUUGUGUGUUUUUGAAAAGACUGUGGAAAUUAAGAACCCCUCAGAGCAGUCUCUGGUGAUGAUGGAUGUCCUUACAGCCCCUACCGCAGAGUGAGUGUUGUGGUGUGAAUGUACAGACCCCUUUGCAACAGAGAUUCACCAUCUGUCCCGUGAACAGAUGUUCAUCUUCAGUGUCAGUGCUGCUCCAGCCACAGCCUCGCUGACCAGUGUCAUGUUCGGUGUUGAUUUUUAAAUACAGAUCUUUUCAUCGCCAGCUUUUUCAUGUAAGCUGUGGCCAGAGAGUAAGAGGCAAAGGCUAGCUUCACAU